Molecule: ribosomal RNA, 430 nt
Filed under: Priestia flexa
Lineage: Bacteria; Bacillati; Bacillota; Bacilli; Caryophanales; Bacillaceae
Description: bacterial SSU rRNA
Rfam family: Bacterial small subunit ribosomal RNA
Source: RNAcentral
UCGGAGAGUUUGAUCCUGGCUCAGGAUGAACGCUGGCGGCGUGCCUAAUACAUGCAAGUCGAGCGAACUGAUUAGAAGCUUGCUUCUAUGACGUUAGCGGCGGACGGGUGAGUAACACGUGGGCAACCUGCCUGUAAGACUGGGAUAACUCCGGGAAACCGGAGCUAAUACCGGAUAACAUUUUUUCUUGCAUAAGAGAAAAUUGAAAGAUGGUUUCGGCUAUCACUUACAGAUGGGCCCGCGGUGCAUUAGCUAGUUGGUGAGGUAACGGCUCACCAAGGCAACGAUGCAUAGCCGACCUGAGAGGGUGAUCGGCCACACUGGGACUGAGACACGGCCCAGACUCCUACGGGAGGCAGCAGUAGGGAAUCUUCCGCAAUGGACGAAAGUCUGACGGAGCAACGCCGCGUGAGUGAUGAAGGCUUUCGGG